CAAUAGCGUAUAUUAAAGUUGUUGCAGUUAAAAAGCUCGUAGUCGGAUUUCGGGGCCUGCCUGCCGGUCUGCCGAUGGGUAUGCACUGGCAGGCGCGUCCUUCCUUCCGGAGACUGUCCCUACUCUUAACUGAGCGGGGUCGGGAGACGGAUCGUUUACUUUGAAAAAUUAGAGUGUUUAAAGCAGGCUUAUGCCGUUGAAUAUAUUAGCAUGGAAUAAUAAGAUAGGACUUUGGAACUAUUUUGUUGGUUUGCGUUACAAAGUAAUGAUUAAUAGGGACAGUUGGGGGUAUUCGUAUUUCGUUGUCAGAGGUGAAAUUCUUGGAUUUCCGAAAGACGAACUACUGCGAAAGCAUUUACCAAGGAUGUUUUCAUUAAUCAAGAACGAAAGUUAGGGGAUCGAAGACGAUUAGAUACCAU
Molecule: ribosomal RNA, 419 nt
Filed under: uncultured eukaryote
Lineage: Eukaryota
Description: bacterial SSU rRNA
Rfam family: Eukaryotic small subunit ribosomal RNA
Source: RNAcentral